GUCACUCAUCGAUUGUGCUCACAUUGUGUCCUGAACUCUGCCUUCCGUCCUCUCCCCUGCAGGUAAAACCAAUGGAAUUUCUUGACUGAUGGCAUGUGGAAAAUGAGAGAAAGAGAGGAGUCAUGGAUAGCUACAUGUUUUUUGGCAGAACAGCUGGAAGAAUGAUGGAGAAAGAAGAGGAG
Long non-coding RNA from Talpa occidentalis (Iberian mole), 182 nucleotides. RefSeq lists it as uncharacterized. NCBI's taxonomy places the organism in Eukaryota, Metazoa, Chordata, Mammalia, Eulipotyphla, Talpidae. The transcript is spliced from 3 exons. The record is from RefSeq and is a predicted model, not a curated record.